GCUGUCAUCGUCUAGUGGAAUAGGAUACUGCUUUCUCAAGGCAGAGACCACGGGUUCGAAUCCCGUUGACAGCA
Molecule: transfer RNA, 74 nt
Filed under: Endomicrobium sp.
Lineage: Bacteria; Pseudomonadati; Elusimicrobiota; Endomicrobiia; Endomicrobiales; Endomicrobiaceae
Description: tRNA-Glu
Rfam family: tRNA
About the family: Transfer RNA (tRNA) molecules are approximately 80 nucleotides in length. Their secondary structure includes four short double-helical elements and three loops (D, anti-codon, and T loops).
Source: RNAcentral